This 889-nucleotide ribosomal RNA is filed under the name Strombidinopsis acuminata. RNAcentral describes it as "partial Bacterial small subunit ribosomal RNA". It matches the Rfam family "Bacterial small subunit ribosomal RNA", at positions 45 to 932 of the family's 1533-position model. Lineage: Eukaryota; Ciliophora; Spirotrichea; Choreotrichida; Strombidinopsidae. The record is from RNAcentral.
GGCUUAACACAUGCAAGUCGAGGGGUAACAGAGAAAGCUUGCUUUCUGCUGACGACCGGCGCACGGGUGCGUAACGCGUAUGCAACCUACCUUAUACUGGGGAAUAGCCCGAAGAAAUUCGGAUUAAUGCCCCAUAGUAUUGUCGAUUCGCAUGUUUUGACAAUUAAAGAUUACGGUAUAAGAUGGGCAUGCGUCCCAUUAGCUAGAUGGUAAGGUAACGGCUUACCAUGGCAACGAUGGGUAGGGGGCCUGAGAGGGUGAUCCCCCACACUGGUACUGAGACACGGACCAGACUCCUACGGGAGGCAGCAGUGAGGAAUAUUGGUCAAUGGAGGCAACUCUGAACCAGCCAUGCCGCGUGCAGGAUGACUGCCCUAUGGGUUGUAAACUGCUUUUAUACGGGAAUAAACCUCCGAACGUGUUCGGAGCUGAAGGUACCGUAAGAAUAAGGAUCGGCUAACUCCGUGCCAGCAGCCGCGGUAAUACGGAGGAUCCAAGCGUUAUCCGGAAUCAUUGGGUUUAAAGGGUCCGCAGGCGGAUUUAUAAGUCAGUGGUGAAAGCCUACAGCUUAACUGUAGAACUGCCAUUGAUACUGUAAGUCUUGAAUUCGGUCGAAGUGGGCGGAAUAUGUCAUGUAGCGGUGAAAUGCUUAGAUAUGACAUAGAACACCGAUAGCGAAGGCAGCUCACUAGGCCUGGAUUGACGCUCAGGGACGAAAGCGUGGGGAGCGAACAGGAUUAGAUACCCUGGUAGUCCACGCCGUAAACUAUCAAUACUCGUUUUCGGCGAUAUACAGUCGGAGACUAAGCGAAAGUGAUAAGUAUUGCACCUGGGGAGUACGAUCGCAAGGUUGAAACUCAAAGGAAUUGACGGGGGCCCGCACAAGCGG